Molecule: ribosomal RNA, 1350 nt
Filed under: metagenome
Description: SSU rRNA
Rfam family: Eukaryotic small subunit ribosomal RNA
Source: RNAcentral
GUUGUUGUAUACAAAACCCACACCGAGUAACAAUUGGAGGGCAAGUCUGGUGCCAGCAGCCGCGGUAACACCAGCUCCAAUAGCGUAUAUUAAAGUUGUUGCACUUAAAAAGCUCGUAGUCAGACUGCCGAGGGCACCCCUGCUGUGGCGCCGACCAGCUCUUGGAGUCCCGGUCGAUUACGCCCUCAGGGCGUCCCUCCUGGACCCCGCCCGACCUCAUAUGCUGGAGCCGUUCCUCCCAUGGAGCGAACGCGUUUUCAGCACGGGCAUGUUCCUGUGAGCAAAUCAGAGUGUUCCAAGCAGGCGCUUUGCGCUCUCUGCAUGGUUGAGCAUGGAAUGACAACGCGGGACUCCGGUUGCGCUUUGUUGGUGGAGCCGACUGGAGGACAUGGUUAAUAGGGACAGUUGGGGGCAUUUGUAUUUCCAUGUCAGAGGUGAAAUUCUAGGAUUAUGGAAAGACAAACUGCUGCGAAAGCGUUUGCCAAGGAUGUUCCCGUUGAUCAAGAACGAAAGUUAGGGGAUCGAAGACGAUCAGACACCGUCCUAGUCCUAACCGUAAACGAUGCCGACUGGGGAUUGGAGAAUGUAUCGAUCAUUAUGACUCCUUCAGCACCCUUCCGGGAAACCAAAGUCUUUGGGUUGUGGGGGGAGUAUGGUCGCAAGGCUGAAACUUAAAGGAAUUGACGGAACUCUACCACCAAUGGAGGAGCCUGCGGCUUAAUUCGACCCAACUCGGGAAACCUUACCAGGUCCAGACAUAGGGAGGAUGGACAGAUUGAGAGCUCUUUCUUGAUUCUAUGGGUGGUGGUGCAUGGCCGUUUCUAGUUGGUGGAGUGAUUUGUCUGGUUAAUUCCGAUAACGAACGAGACCUCUGCCUGCUAACUAGCGUGGCUUAUCCUUACGGAUAGGUUCCAAAAGUCAAGCGCUUCUUAGAGGGAUUCCUGACUACAAGUCGGGUGAAACGAGAGGCUAGAACAGGUCUGUGAUGCCCUUCGAUGUUCUGGGCCGCACGCGCGCUACACUGACGGAGGCAACGAGCGUGUCCUUGACCGAAAGGUCCCGGGGAACCUUAACAAACUUCGUCGUGCUGGGGAUAGACCAUUGCAAUUAUUGGUCUUCAACGAGGAUUCGUUAGUAAUCGCGUGUCAUCAUCGCGCGAUGACUACGUCCCUGGAGUUUGUACACACCGCCCGUCGCUCCUACCGAUUGGAUGAUGCGGUGAAAUCUUCGGACCGACUAGUGGCUUGCAUGGCGUCUUGCGGCGUCUCCCGUGUUGGGAAGUUGAUUGAAUCUUAUCAUCUAGAGGAAGGAGAAGUCGUAACAAGGUAUCCGUAGGUGAACCUGCGGAUG